This 443-nucleotide ribosomal RNA is filed under the name uncultured bacterium. RNAcentral's name for it is "partial 16S ribosomal RNA". It matches the Rfam family "Bacterial small subunit ribosomal RNA", at positions 338 to 795 of the family's 1533-position model. The record is from RNAcentral.
CCUACGGGAGGCUGCAGUGGGGAAUAUUGGGCAAUGGGCGCAAGCCUGACCCAGCAACGCCGCGUGAAGGAAGAAGGCUUUCGGGUUGUAAACUUCUUUUCUGAGGGACGAAGGAAGUGACGGUACCUCAGGAAUAAGCCACGGCUAACUACGUGCCAGCAGCCGCGGUAAUACGUAGGUGGCAAGCGUUGUCCGGAUUUACUGGGUGUAAAGGGCGUGCAGCCGGAGAGACAAGUCAGAUGUGAAAUCCACGGGCUCAACCCGUGAACUGCAUUUGAAACUGUUUCCCUGGAGUGUCGGAGAGGUAAUCGGAAUUCCUGGUGUAGCGGUGAAAUGCGUAGAUAUAAGGAAGAACACCAGUGGCGAAGGCGGAUUACUGGACGAUAACUGACGGUGAGGCGCGAAAGCGUGGGGAGCAAACAGGAUUAGAUACCCGGGUAGUC